UUAGCCUUCCUCCUGGAUGCAUCCUCCUCGUCAUCGGCUUUCUCCUUCCUGUCCCUCCUGUCCUUUUUGUCUUUGCUUUGCCUUUUUGGAAAAUCCUUUCUCUUUGCAUUUCCAAACACCGUUUCUCAUUCACACCGUCAUCGUGACUAUGGGACUGAACGUGUAGACGUCUAAUUAGCAUCACUGUGAAAUUGUCAGUGCGUAUAGCGACUUGGAAACUCCAGAGUGCAUCUCACAGAGCGAGCGGUGGCAGAACGGCAUGAAACAAAUUCCUUGUUCUGUGAUUGUAUCUGUUGUUCUUUCAGGAGGAGCGGCGAUAAAUUCUGGAGCAAAGUCACCGGAAACAACAACAACAACGACGACAACGACAACAACGACCGCAACACCGACAAACUCAAUCUGGCAGCGUUCCUCGGCGUUCCAGGACACCUUGCACACGAUGCAUCAGCGGCGGGCCGACCUUGAGCGCCAGGCAUUAAGGUCAAGUCUUCAGGUUGAUCGCAAGAAUGAUGGUCGGCGAGUAAACGACGCCAUAAAUUAAGUGCGUGUCACUCUGAAACGAGGCUUCGCUCGCUCAAGGUCCGGACUGCUGCACAGCCCAGCAGGCCAUCAAGACACACCGCCAGCCUCUCAAUACGCCGCCGUCUGAUGAAGCGAGACACCAGAUCACACUGGCCUCCUUAUCUGCACUACAAGAAAACACCCCACCACACGGAGCGGCGCAGAAAAAGUAGAAAGGAAAUUAAUACGGGAGAAGUUGGUGGAAACAUAGGAGAGCGGGAGAGAGAGAGCUUCAGGAGGAACGGGCUACGUUGAGCUGCUGUUUAACCACUGCAAUGUUAAAAGGCAGUGGUGCUUAUGUGAAACUGAUGAUGAUGUGGAGGACUGUGGACGUCUUCAUCCAUUGGCUCCUACUAAGAGCCAAUCAGCUGACCUCUACAUGACUGUCAUGCUCAGUGUAGACACACUUUGAGCAUGAUGAUAUCUAGAUAUUUAGAAAUGUGAACUUUUCUGGCUACCAUAGUUUAGAAAUCAUGUACUGUAAACUAUAUCUGCUAAUUAAAGAAAAAUGUAGACAAAUUAAAUAAAACAUUUUUGACAAUGUAGCUAGGAGACGAA
Long non-coding RNA from Betta splendens (Siamese fighting fish), 1119 nucleotides. RefSeq lists it as uncharacterized. Lineage: Eukaryota; Metazoa; Chordata; Actinopteri; Anabantiformes; Osphronemidae. The record is from RefSeq and is a predicted model, not a curated record. The transcript has 3 exons.